Molecule: long non-coding RNA, 1544 nt
Organism: Herpailurus yagouaroundi (jaguarundi)
Lineage: Eukaryota; Metazoa; Chordata; Mammalia; Carnivora; Felidae
Exons: 2
Source: RefSeq, a predicted model, not a curated record
ACCCUAAUUCUAAUCUUUGUGUUACAAAUCUUUCCAUAAAUGCGUCUCCUUUUCUGUCGUAGUCAGUGGAGUGUGCUGAGUAAUAAUGAAACUCAUCUGAUUCUGAAUCAUCUGGUGCCUUCAGACUAGAAAAGGCAGAAGGCAGGUGAGACCAGGUUGAACACUGGCCGAAUCCAGGGGAUGACUUUGAAAAACAAGGUAUAUUUUAAUGUAAAUCCCCAUGAAUUUAUGUUGUGUCACCAUCCUUAGGGGACCGGGCCCGACUAAGCCAGCACCUGCUGACCCCUCCCCCACCCCUCCCUCCGCACCUCCCCCCACUCCUUCCCCUCCCCAGUCACUGGCCUCUGGGUCACAGAGACCUUCUUCAGUGAAUGCCUCAGCCCCCUCUGGCCUCCAGGCAGCAUGCACUGUUCCCUUUGCCUGAAAUACCUUUCCUCCCUUCUCACCAGGCUGACUCUUGCUCAGUCCUCAGGCCCCUCUGAAAUGUCACUUCCUCAGGGAGGCCUGCCCUGCCUGCUCUCUCCCCCAGACUCGUUUUUUUUAUUGCCUUCAUGCUUAUGGCUCUUGCGCCUUUUGUUUUUUCAGGGCAUUUAUGGAUAUUUGUGGCCAUGUGUUUAUUUGCAUGUUUCUUUCUUUCAUGUCUGUCUCCUCAGCCAGACAGUGACCUCUUUCAGGGCAGGGACUGGGUUCGGCUCCCUGCUCACAGCCCCAGGACCUAGCACAGCACCUGGCCCACAGCACACCCACAGAAAGCUUUGUUGAAUGAACGAAUGAAUGAAUGCAUGCAUGCGUUUUCCAUUGCUUCAUAAAGACGAAAGAAAGAUUCCUGCUAAUUGAAGCUCCUGGCUAGGGAUGUUUGUCCUACGCCCCGGGGCUGAGCCUGGGGAAGCCAGGAGAGAGGGGCUGGGUCCCUCCCAGUGCAGUCUGCCAUCCACUUCUUCUGUGGAACUCUCCCAGGCUCACUUGGAAACAAACAGAGGGUUUUUUUUUUUUUGAGAAUCCAUUUCCUCAUUUCAGAUUCUCCACCACACUGAAUGGGAGGUCGGCAGGUAUCAUUCUCACUGUUUUACAAGAUGCUUUUGCCCAGAGAGGCACGUUGGAGCCAUUGCUGGAACCAGCCUUGGGCAAAUGAGUCAGAAGUCAGCACCCCAGGAGCCCCAAACAGAGAGGGUGGAUUUUUUCACACCCAAAUGGAGUCUUCCUUUCUGGAGGCUCAGGAGAAGGACCUCACGACGGGUCACUGCUGUUUGUUGAGCACACGCUGGUGCCACGCUGGGCGAAUUGCUUGUUAUCUCUGUACAGGUUUACGAUCACUCAGCGGACCGGACGAAGAAAUUGGCACAAAAGGUUCAGUCACUUGAGCAAGGCACCCAGCUAGCUAGCUAGUUAAGUGCUGCUGGUAGGAUCUGAACCCAGAUCUACUGACGUAUAGACUCUUAACCUUAUACUUCAAGGCAAAGAAAAUCCCAGGGGUGCCGAGGAGACGCUGUCGAGAUGUCCCCGAAACCGCGCGGCACAGAGAAGCCCACGGACAACCCCGGGUG